This 305-nucleotide ribosomal RNA is filed under the name uncultured bacterium. RNAcentral's name for it is "bacterial SSU rRNA". It matches the Rfam family "Bacterial small subunit ribosomal RNA", at positions 333 to 636 of the family's 1533-position model. The record is from RNAcentral.
UUUUUCCUACGGGGGGCAGCAGUGAGGAAUAUUGGUCAAUGGACGGAAGUCUGAACCAGCCAUGCCGCGUGCAGGAAGACGGCUCUAUGAGUUGUAAACUGCUUUUGUACAAGGGUAAACCUGAAUACGUGUAUUCAGCUGAAAGUACUGUACGAAUAAGGAUCGGCUAACUCCGUGCCAGCAGCCGCGGUAAUACGGAGGAUGCGAGCGUUAUCCGGAUUUAUUGGGUUUAAAGGGUGCGUAGGCGGAAUGCCAAGUCAGCGGUAAAAUCGCGGGGCUCAACCUCGCUCCGCCGUUGAAACUGG